Molecule: long non-coding RNA, 692 nt
Organism: Carassius gibelio (silver crucian carp)
Lineage: Eukaryota; Metazoa; Chordata; Actinopteri; Cypriniformes; Cyprinidae
Exons: 3
Source: RefSeq, a predicted model, not a curated record
UCUCUAUGGUAGUGCUUAACACUACGGAUGUGAUAUAUUUGUGGCCACACGUAGAUUUCCCGGCGCUGUUUCGCCUCUUCCGUGGCGCGGAAUUCAAACAGCGGAUACUCAUCUGUCAAUCAUUCGCUCUGAAGGAGAGGAGACGCGUUUUACGAUCGGAGAUUUCUUCACGAAAUUGUUUUGUUUGAACAACAUACGCUGCCAAACUCCCAACAAGCAGGAAUGUUUAGAUGAUGCGUGCUCUGUCAAGACACCCUCCUCCACAGAGUAGGUCACCCUAAAGACGGUCUCACUCUCAGUCCACCAAAACAUCACACCAGACACUUUGUCAGUGGAGGAUCAAAGGUCAGAAGGGUUUCUUCCAGAUGCAGAACACCACACCAUUGGCCAUAAAAGCGUCCCUCGUUCAGCUCACACUGGACCCCUCAGAACAGCUGGUCUUCGUGUUGGACCAUAGAUGGACAGAUCUGUUGAGAAUUGCCCGUGAACAUCUCUUGGCAACGCACCAUAGGAGCAAGGAUCUUCUUAAACAGGUCAAAGGCUUUUUCUUUCUUCUUCUGUGUUUUCCACAACUUUAAAUUGUAUUAUUAUUAAUAUUAUUGUAGCUGUUGUUGUUUAAUCUACAAUUUUUAAUUAUUUAAUUGAUUUCCAUUUGUUAAAUAAAACAUCAGAAGUAUUGGCCUUGUUUACAC